CCGGAUCUGGACUCUUGGCAGGCUCCGUGGGGGGCACGGGAGUGGCUCCAUUCACCUGGGACAGCUUCCGCUUUUUUUUCUGCAGCUUUGGGGUCUUGGCAGGG
Molecule: non-coding RNA, 104 nt
Organism: Ceratotherium simum simum (southern white rhinoceros)
Lineage: Eukaryota; Metazoa; Chordata; Mammalia; Perissodactyla; Rhinocerotidae
Source: RefSeq, a predicted model, not a curated record